RNA transcript from Otolemur garnettii (small-eared galago), 957 nucleotides. It is a transcript of the gene named 60S acidic ribosomal protein P0-like, with no coding region annotated. The record is from RefSeq and is a predicted model, not a curated record. NCBI's taxonomy places the organism in Eukaryota, Metazoa, Chordata, Mammalia, Primates, Galagidae. The transcript has a single exon.
AUGCCCAGGGAAGACAGGGCAACCUGGGAGUCCAACUAUGUCCUUAAGAUCAUCCAAUUUCUGGAUGAUUAUCCAAAACGCUUUAUUGUGGGAGUAGACAACAUGGGCCCUGAGCAGAUGCAGCAGAUCCACAUGUCCCUUUCAGGCUGUGGUGUUGGUGGGCAAGAGCACCACAAUGGGCAAGGCCAUGGAGGGCAUCUGGAAAACAACCCAGCUCUGGAGAAACGGCCUCAUCUCUGGGGGAAUGCGGCUUUAGGAUUCACCAAGGAUGACCUCACUGAGAUGAGAGAUGUGCUACUGACCAUGCUGUUUCCCCCCCGGGAAGUCACUGUGCCACCCCAGAACACUGAUCUGGGGCUAGAGAAGACCUCCUUCUUACAGGCACGAAAAUCCCCAUGGACACCAUUGAAAUGCUGAGUGAUGUACAGCUGAUUACAACUGGAGACAAAGUGGGAGCCAGCAAAGCCACACUGCUGAACAUCUCCCCCUGCUCCUUUGGGCUGGCCAGCCAGCAGGUGCUCAACCAUGGCAGCAUCUACAACCCUGAAGUGCUGGAUGUGACAGAGGAAACUGCAUUCUCCCUCCCUGGAGGGCAUCCACAAUGUUGCCAAUGUUUGUCUGCAGACUGGUGAGCCACUUGUUGCAUCAGAACCCCAUUCUAUCAUCAGUGGGUGCAAAUGAAUCCUGGCUUUGUCUGUGGAGACUGAUUACACCCUCUCACUUGCUGAAAAGCUCAAGGCCUUCUUAACUGACCCAUCUGCCUUUGUGGCUGCUGCUCCUGUGGCCACCACCAUCACUGCUGCCCCUGCUGCCCCACAGCCCCAACCAAGGUUGAGCCAAGGAAGAGCCAGAGGAGUUGGAUGAGGAUAUAGGAUUUGGUCUCUUUGACUAAUCACCAAAAAUAACAAACGCAGCCAGAUUUAGUUGCAAAACAAGGAAAUAAAGCCUUACCUCUCU